This 4129-nucleotide long non-coding RNA is filed under the name Danio rerio (zebrafish). RNAcentral's name for it is "synaptopodin 2a (ENSDARG00000117361.1)". The record is from RNAcentral. Lineage: Eukaryota; Metazoa; Chordata; Actinopteri; Cypriniformes; Danionidae.
UAAAUAUUGUAGUUUAAACAACUGGAUUAACGUUAUUUUACCGUGAUCUUCUCCCUGUAGAUGCUGUAGCCAACCUCAAGAGGGCGUUGAACUGGUUAGCACUACUUUUCGGAUCCCUUCUCCAUCGAGGCCUCAUGAAUCUCAGCCACAGGACCUGUACAUUUCCGAGUCCCAGGAUGAAGCGUAUUAUGGGGAAACAGACAGCGAUGGAGAAAGUGCUGUGGGAACUCGAUUGGUCCGGACCCAAAUUCAAAUACCUGCAUCUAGGAGUAAAGAAAGAGGAACUUAUGCACAAGUCGGCGGAGGAUCUGUGGUCGAACUGCAGCUCUCGUUGUCCAAGACCACCCUGAAGGAACCGGAUUGUACUGCACUAGGUAGUGCAUGUGGAGUUGUGGGAGAUGUUUAUCACAGGGAAACGGAUGAGAGCAUCAUCUCUCCAGAAAUCCCGCUUUAUGUUCCCAGACAAAACCGGCAACCCCUUGGUCAGCGGGGUGUGUUGAUUAGCAAAGCCAGUUGUUUGCCAGGACAGGUGGAGGUAACAGUGCAGCAGAUUUCUGCUUCAGGAAAGGAGGGGGGGAAGGCCAGUGAACGGUUGGAUUCUGGUGGGGAAGAAGGAGGGAACAUUGAAGAAGCUCCCACCUCCUCCUCUGUGUCCUUUGGACUUCCCUCAGAGGAGUGGGACUCCGAAUCGGAGCGGGAGGUCUACCAGCCCAACAAGCACCGGGCAAGGCACGCCAGGCUCCGGCGCAGUGAGAGUCUUUCAGAGAAGCAGGUGAAAGAGGCCAAGUCCAAAUGCAAGCGCAUUGCUCUUCUGCUGUCUGCUCCGGCCCCCAACCCCAAUAAUAAGGGGGUGUUGAUGUUUAAGAAGCAUAGACAAAGAGCCAAGAAGUAUACUCUUGUCAGCUACGGUACUGGUGAGGACGAGUCCGAUUAUAAAGACGAAUACGACGACAGUGACAAGGAGGAACAUGCUGUUGAGUUCACUGUCCUAGCCACAAGUGAAAAAGAAAUUGGUACCGAUUUCUUCACCAAUGCCUCAGCUCAGAAAAGUAUUGUGAGCUUUGAUUGGGAUACUGGAUUACUCGAGAUAGAACGCAAGCUUGACAACCAGCAGGAUAUGGAAGCUCUGCCUGAGACCAAGGGUAAAGGAGCACUCAUGUUUGCCCAGCGCAAACAGCGCAUGGAUGAGAUAGUAGCUGAGCAUGAAGAGCUGAGACGUAAGGGGAUCCCUGUUGAAGCAGUGCAGGAGCCUGAGACUCAUCAAACAUACCAACACAUGGAGGAGCAUGCUUAUAUGCAUGCCCAAGAGACCCAGAAUUACAUGGAUGUAAAUUUACACCACAGCAUGUCUGCUCAAAAGCAGCAACAGCAACAGCAACAACAAUAUCAUCAGUACCAAGAACAAUACUAUCAACAGCAGCAGCAGCAGCAGCAGUAUCAAGACUACCAACAGCAGCUACAAUACCAACAACAACAACAACAUCAGUAUCAACAACAGCAAGAAUAUCAGCAGCAAAAAAUGUAUCAACAAAUGCAAUCAUACAAUCAGCAACAACACUUCCAACAGCAGAAAGUUGAACAGUACUCACAUCAAAUGAAUGGGAUGUAUGAUCAGCAAACGCAGAAUGAAAUGCAGGCAUCAGUAGCAAACAGGAGUGCCAAACCAUUUUCAACUCAAAACAGAGUAGCUGUUCCAUUUUCCUCCCCUCCAAAUGCAGACAAUCAAGAACAAUCUGGGUAUUCUUUAGGGCAAGGUGAACAGAUCGCCUCCCGUGAUGAGCGUAUAUCUGUACCUGCUAUCAAGACUGGUAUCUUGCAAGACACAAGGAGGAGGAAUGCCAGUAAACCUAUGUUCACUUUUAAAGAGUCUCCCAAGGUUUCACCUAAUCCCGCUCUGUUGAAUCUCCUUAACAGGAAUGACAAGAAAGCAGGUUUUGAGUCUUGCCCAGAAGAAGAUUAUUUAAGCUUAGGGGCUGAGGCAUGCAACUUUCUUCAGUCCCCUAAGAUGAAACACAAAACUCCACCUCCAGUAGCUCCGAAACCUCACAUUAACCCUGCUUCUCCUCCAUGGACUAGUCCAGAAAACGCUGACCAACCUAACACACUGCAAGUUGAAAACAGUGUCCCAGGACCUGCAGAAGCUCCAGUCACAAUGGCUGAUGCUGCUCCUGUCCCCACCCCUAAAUUGGGAGUCCAAGUCACGUCUGAAGAAGAACCUACGUUGGCCUCUGAAUCUCAUGAUGUUUCACACAGUCCUGAAGAACUUGCUCCAGCUCAUGCCUGGAAACAACCGGAAGCUCAGAUGGAGCAGAACCAGCAACCAGAAACCUGGAAUGAGAAACAGCCACAGCUACAAAUGAACUCUUCUCAUCCUGUGGCACCACCUGUUACCCAGUCAGAUCCAUCUGCCAGAUCGUGGGAUCCAGCCUUAACCCAAGGUCAUGAGCAGAAUCCAGUAAGUAGUUGGGGUCCAAAUGAAGUCCAAAUGCAAGUCCCAUCUCAAACACAGCCACAGUGGAUGACGCAAUCUCAAGCUCCUCCAGAGGUACAAUCACAAGUGCCUCCUAAAACUCAGUCCCAGCCUUCUUGGGUAACUCAGGUUCAAUCCUCACCCCAACUCAAGCAUCAGCCACAGCCUCAGUCCCAAAUAAAUGCUUGGGCACCAAAUCCAACAUCACAAGCCCCAUGGUCUCAACCAUCACAACCAUCUACUGGUGUUUGGCAACAAGAUCAAAAUCAAGCUCAAGAACAACCACCCUGGACCCAGGAGCAACAAUUCCAAGAAUCUCAGUUAAUGCCACAUUGGGCACCACCCCCUCAGCAACAGCCACAGCCUCCUUGGGCUCAACCUCAGAGGCAGACACAGCCACAGCCACCUUGGGUCUCUCAGGCCAAACAGCAAGAACCAGCACAGCCACCGGUAAAUGCAUGGACUCAAUCACAGAGUCCAAUUCAAGCACAGCCUCAAUGGCCUCAGCAGAGUCAACCACCGCCUCAGCCCACAGCACAAUUGCAGCAACCUGUGAAUCCUUGGACACAAAUGCCACCCCACCCCCAACCACAACCACACUGGGGACAAGAACCUACUUCUCAACAACACCCUCAACAAGUAAUGAACUCUUGGGCACCUGAGCAGAAUCAAAUUCAGCCUCCCUGGGCUCAAGGAAUGCCACCAACUCAUCCCCAGGCACAUCCUCCAUGGGUACCAAAACCUCAACAGCAAGCAUCACAGCCACCUGUGAGCCAAUGGGCACCACCACAGUCUCAACCAGCUGUAAAUACUUGGGCUCCCCAAAACCCACAAGGUUCAGUUGAAAGCCAAAAGUUGCCUGCCCAACCAAUUAAGCAGUGGAGUCCACCUCAGCCCACUCCUCCACGUCGAAUCAACUCGUAUACCACUGGGACAAAAGUACCAUCUCCCGUGCCAGCAAGCAGUACUGUGGCAUCCCAUGGUUUUGGUUCGGCUUUUGAGAUGCCGGCAUUGAAAGGGAAAGGGGCAGAACUUUUCGCCAAGAGGCAAUCCAGAAUGGAGAAGUACAUUGUGGAUUCUACCACAGUGCAGUCAAAUAAGGGACUCAGAAGCUCAUCCUUAUCUCCACCAGUCAGACUUCCAUCAGUGGGCCUCAAUGCCAGGUCAGUUUCAUCUUCUCCAUCACCCAGACACCCCUCACCCAGCAUCCGUCCCACCCCAGGACAAACUUUCACAAGAUCUCAAAAACCGCCCUCGCCCUGGGAAGCGGCUUCACGCCACCCGCUGGGACUCGUAGACGAAGCUUUCACGUUUCUGAACAUCCAGCAAUCCAUCGCCUCCAACCUGCGCUCCGCUGCUCAGAGUAAACGUUUACCUGAGCCGCCGGCCGAGUGGAAGGCAAAGGUUGCCUAUGAGCCUCCGCCGAAAAGCCAGAAAGACAGUAUAAGUCAAUCACCGUUGACUUUUCUGUCCCCGACCAAGAGCACGGCAUCAGCUCCGGCUGGGCCUGUCCCUUACGGAUCAGCCUUCAGACAGAUUCAACCACAACGGUCCAUGACGGUGGCUGAUCUCGGGGUCCCACAAGGAGAGAUAAAACAUACGGGACCCCGUCCGCUGAGGCUCUACAAAGCCAAAGACAGCAGCACAUGGAGGCGUUAG